This is a non-coding RNA of Erinaceus europaeus (western European hedgehog), 220 nucleotides long. NCBI's taxonomy places the organism in Eukaryota, Metazoa, Chordata, Mammalia, Eulipotyphla, Erinaceidae. The record is from Rfam.
AUGAUUGCAUUUCUUCAGUGUUCUUGUCUUUUGUUGCUUUUUUUACUUCUUUUAUGUGUAGAGAGUACCACAGACCAUGAAGACAAGCCAUAGCUCUUUCUCUCUCUCCUGAGCAUGAAGCUGGUUCUAGGUGUCGCUUUUUGCAGCUGCCUUUUGCCAUAGAUGAUCCUUCUUCUCUCCCAAUGGGAGAGUAAGAGGGAGAGAGCAUAGUUUGGGUGGU